This 571-nucleotide long non-coding RNA is filed under the name Ricinus communis (castor bean). RNAcentral's name for it is "long non-coding RNA (RCOM_LNC002245)". The record is from RNAcentral. Lineage: Eukaryota; Viridiplantae; Streptophyta; Magnoliopsida; Malpighiales; Euphorbiaceae.
AAACUUUCUCUAAUAAUUCCAAAUAAUUCCCAAAGUCUAAAUAAAAUUAUACUGUGCUGAAACCCGAACUUUUGCUCAUUCAGAAAACAAUGAGGUCCAGAAGCUGGUACCGCCAACAAUGUCGAAUUCCGAAUCUGGAGGCGCCUAUAUGAAGCUUGAGUUGCAUGGAUUCUAAAAACACCAGAAUGACCAUCUAACUCUUGCCGAAAACUGCUAGAUCGCAGUGAGAAGGGAGCUGGUCCGGUGAGACUCUCCUAAGGCUGCCGAUGAAAGAGAAACAAUGGGAAGGAGCUGACUUGGGUAUGUCAAAGUUGAGGAGCUUGUUUCUGGCGUCGGAUAGGUGAAAGGACGGUGGUAGGAGGCUGCACUUGUAGCGACAGUAAGGAGGAGCAAUCUUGUCCUCGAACUGGAUGUUAAUAGCGAGAAUAAGAGAAGAAGAGGGCGGCGCUGAUGACAAGAGGGGAAAAAAGAAGUCUGCAACGAUUGGAGAAGGUGGCAGGCGGCGGGGGUAGGGAGGGGGAGAAGGGAGAAGAGAUUAUGUGGAGAGAGAAGGAGGAGAAGGAAAAUUUUG